AGAUUGAACGCUGGCGGCAGGCCUAACACAUGCAAGUCGAGCGGUAGAGAGGUGCUUGCACCUCUUGAGAGCGGCGGACGGGUGAGUAAUGCCUAGGAAUCUGCCUGGUAGUGGGGGAUAACGCUCGGAAACGGACGCUAAUACCGCAUACGUCCUACGGGAGAAAGCAGGGGACCUUCGGGCCUUGCGCUAUCAGAUGAGCCUAGGUCGGAUUAGCUAGUUGGUGAGGUAAUGGCUCACCAAGGCGACGAUCCGUAACUGGUCUGAGAGGAUGAUCAGUCACACUGGAACUGAGACACGGUCCAGACUCCUACGGGAGCAGCAGUGGGGAAUAUUGGACAAUGGGCGAAAGCCUGAUCCAGCCAUGCCGCGUGUGUGAAGAAGGUCUUCGGAUUGUAAAGCGUACUUUAAGUUGGAGAAGGGCAGUUACCUAAUACGUAUCUGUUUGACGUUACGACAGAAUAAGCACGCUAACUCUGU
RNAcentral lists this ribosomal RNA (480 nucleotides) under uncultured soil bacterium. Its description in RNAcentral is "bacterial SSU rRNA". It matches the Rfam family "Bacterial small subunit ribosomal RNA", at positions 26 to 506 of the family's 1533-position model. The record is from RNAcentral.